Molecule: ribosomal RNA, 484 nt
Filed under: uncultured bacterium
Lineage: Bacteria
Description: partial 16S ribosomal RNA
Rfam family: Bacterial small subunit ribosomal RNA
Source: RNAcentral
AUUGAACGCUGGCGGCAUGCUUUACACAUGCAAGUCGAACGGCAGCGCGGGCUUCGGCCUGGCGGCGAGUGGCGAACGGGUGAGUAAUACAUCGGAACGUGCCCAGUAGUGGGGGAUAGCUCGGCGAAAGCCGGAUUAAUACCGCAUACGACCUGUGGGUGAAAGCGGGGGAUCUUUGGACCUCGCGCUAUUGGAGCGGCCGAUGGCCGAUUAGCUAGUUGGUGGGGUAACGGCCUACCAAGGCGACGAUCGGUAGCUGGUCUGAGAGGACGACCAGCCACACGGGGACUGAGACACGGCCCAGACACCGACGGGAGGCAGCAGUGGGGAAUUUUGGACAAUGGGCGAAAGCCUGAUACAGCAAUGCCGCGUGUGUGAUGAAGGCCUUCGGGUUGUAAAGCACUUUUGGCGGGAACGAAAAGAACUGUGCCAAUACCACGGUUCGAUGACGGUACCCGCAGAAUAAGCACCGGCUAACUACGUG